Molecule: non-coding RNA, 185 nt
Filed under: Cellulosilyticum lentocellum
Lineage: Bacteria; Bacillati; Bacillota; Clostridia; Lachnospirales; Cellulosilyticaceae
Also listed under: 1 other name
Description: Clostridium lentocellum Lysine sequence
Rfam family: Lysine riboswitch aptamer
About the family: Riboswitches are metabolite binding domains within certain messenger RNAs that serve as precision sensors for their corresponding targets. Allosteric rearrangement of mRNA structure is mediated by ligand binding, and this results in modulation of gene expression.
Source: RNAcentral
AUAUUUUGUAGAGGCGCGGUUGCCAAGAGUAGAUUAUAGGAUUUUUACAAGAAAAGAUGAUUAUAGUCAAAAGGGGUAAUCGCCGAAGAUUAAAUAGCUUGUACUAUUUAUUUCUGGUUGUCUGGUUAAUAGCUAUACAACUGUCAUCCUUUAUUAUACAAUAAGGAUGGAGUGCUACAUAUAAU